Molecule: non-coding RNA, 45 nt
Filed under: Schistosoma mattheei
Lineage: Eukaryota; Metazoa; Platyhelminthes; Trematoda; Strigeidida; Schistosomatidae
Source: RNAcentral
AUUCAGCCGACGAGCCGCGAAUAAGAUGAAACGCAUGUCCUGGAU